GACGAACGCUGGCGGCGUGCUUAACACAUGCAAGUCGUACGGUAAGGCCCUUUCGGGGGUACACGAGUGGCGAACGGGCGCGUAACACGUGAGUAACCUGCCCACAACUUUGGGAUAACGCUAGGAAACUGGUGCUAAUACUGGAUAUGUGCUCCUGCUGCAUGGGGGGGGUUGGAAAGCUCCGGCGGUUGUGGAUGGACUCGCGGCCUAUUAGCUUGUUGGUGGGGUAGUGGCCUACCAAGGCGGCGACGGGUAGCCGGCCUGGGAGGGUGACCGGCCACAUUGGGACUGAAGUACGGCCCAGACUCCUACGGGAGGCAACAGGGGGGAAUAUUGCACAAUGGGCGCAAGCCUGGUGCAGCAGCGCCGCGUGCGGGAUGACGGCCUUCGGGUUGUAAACCGCUUUCAGCAGGGACGAAGCUUUUUGUGACGGUACCUGCAGAAGAAGCACCGGCUAACUACGUG
This 465-nucleotide ribosomal RNA is filed under the name uncultured bacterium. Its description in RNAcentral is "partial 16S ribosomal RNA". It matches the Rfam family "Bacterial small subunit ribosomal RNA", at positions 28 to 507 of the family's 1533-position model. The record is from RNAcentral.